CACAUGCCUUGACUGAUCACAUCUGCAUUUGGUAUGAGUGGAAGACCGUGACGUAUCUCCUUUAAUUCUGUAAACUUACUCUGUAUAAUACACUGUGAACAUGCUGCUAUUCUACCUGUGAGUGGUGUGGGCACACAAGUCCAUAAUGUUGAUGUAACGAAUAUAUACGACUAUAUGUAUGAAUUAUAUACUACAAUAAUAUAGCGUAGGUAUGAGUUGUACAAGGUUGUAGUAACAGGUGAGUAUGUAACUGAUUCAGUCUCUUACUGGAAGCAAGUAAUGUCCUAAUUCUGGAAACAGAUUGUUUGGAAAGUCUACACUAAAUCAGAGGUACGUAUAGGCCAAUCAGAAGAAAAACCAGGAUCGCAACUGAGCUUGGACAGUUACCCAAAAUGACUCUGCACUCUGUGGAUUGGAAGUGCGUUGACUCCCUUUUAAUAUAAAAAACAGGUAAGUAAAGAAAACCAACAAAACAAAAACAAAACUCAAUAUUAUUACUACUACCUGGGUAGAAAAUAAAUUAUUGACUUAAGUGUACCCUGUAGCAAGUCAUAAGUGUGAACUUAAAGUAAAGUGAUAACAGUUCACUAUUUAGAUAAUGAAUCCAAGCUUUCAAAUGACAAUACACAGUUUAUGUAUGUAUUUGUAUUAAUGGAUGUCUUUGUGUCACACAGCAUAUGGAACCUUUUGGAACGUCCAGUCCGUGGAGAGUGCAAAUUGGUGCUCCACCUUGUGGACAGGAGCUCUACAGUGUCCUUCACUGUUAAAGCCAUGUUUACCUCAGUCCAGCAGAACUGUCCUCCCCUCUGAACUGAACUGGACGGUCCAUUGACUCAUCACUCUUCUUGGACUCACAGCUGGGGUCAGGUGAGUCUGGCCUCUUCCUCUGAAUCAGACUAAAACAUUCCAGUAGGGAAAAUCAUGUUACAGUCAUGCAGAGGGUAAAUUGUGGAAUUUGGUUAAAGUUUAAU
Molecule: long non-coding RNA, 971 nt
Organism: Pygocentrus nattereri (red-bellied piranha)
Lineage: Eukaryota; Metazoa; Chordata; Actinopteri; Characiformes; Serrasalmidae
Source: Ensembl